AGCUCCAAUAGCGUAUAUUAAAGUUGUUGCCGUUAAAAAGCUCAUAGUUGGAUUUCUGGCAGGAGCGACCGGUUGCACACUAUGUGUGUGAGCUUGUGUUGUCUCUGGCCAUCCUUGGGGAGAUCCUGUGUGGCAUUAAGUUGUCGGGCAGGGGAUACCCAUCCUUUACUGUGAAAAAAUUAGAGUGUUUAAAGCAGGCUCAUGCCGUUGAAUAUAUUAGCAUGGAAUAAUAAGAUAGGACUUCGGAACUAUUUUGUUGGUUUGCGUUAUAAAGUAAUGAUUAAUAGGGACAGUUGGGGGUAUUCGUAUUUCGUUGUCAGAGGUGAAAUUCUUGGAUUUCCGAAAGAUGAACUACUGCGAAAGCAUUUACCAAGGAUGUUUUCA
This 384-nucleotide ribosomal RNA is filed under the name uncultured eukaryote. Its description in RNAcentral is "SSU rRNA". It matches the Rfam family "Eukaryotic small subunit ribosomal RNA", at positions 587 to 972 of the family's 1831-position model. The record is from RNAcentral.